RNAcentral lists this unclassified non-coding RNA (261 nucleotides) under Hevea brasiliensis (rubber tree). Lineage: Eukaryota; Viridiplantae; Streptophyta; Magnoliopsida; Malpighiales; Euphorbiaceae. The record is from RNAcentral.
CUGGUAUUAUGGUCAGCAUUUUUCUGGUCUAAUAUUAGCCCAGACAUUGGGAUUGCAGGAGAUGAAUGAGGCAUGGACGUUGCAGGUGGAGUAAUAGGUGAUAUAUUGGUAGAAGGAUUUACACAUUCAGCCUGAAGUUCCAACUUUGCUCCAUCCACUUUAGGCUUUUUGCUCACCACAUUAUCUUCUUGGGAUAUCUCAUAUUUCCCCUGAAAUCGCAAAGUGGGAGAAUUGGUAGUCAAAACGCUUCUGAGAAGGUUG